GACGAACGCUGGCGGCGUGCCUAAUACAUGCAAGUCGAACGCUUCUUUCCUCCCGAGUGCUUGCACUCAAUUGGAAAGAGGAGUGGCGGACGGGUGAGUAACACGUGGGUAACCUACCCAUCAGAGGGGGAUAACACUUGGAAACAGGUGCUAAUACCGCAUAACAGUUUAUGCCGCAUGGCAUAAGAGUGAAGGGCGCUUUCGGGUGUCGCUGAUGGAUGGACCCGCGGUGCAUUAGCUAGUUGGUGAGGUAACGGCUCACCAAGGCCACGAUGCAUAGCCGACCUGAGAGGGUGAUCGGCCACACUGGGACUGAGACACGGCCCAGACUCCUACGGGAGGCAGCAGUAGGGAAUCUUCGGCAAUGGACGAAAGUCUGACCGAGCAACGCCGCGUGAGUGAGGAAGGUUUUCGGAUCGUAAAACUCUGUUGUUAGAGAAGAACAAGGACGUUAGUAACUGAACGUCCCCUGACGGUAUCUAACCAGAAAGCCACGGCUAACUACGUG
Molecule: ribosomal RNA, 508 nt
Filed under: uncultured bacterium
Lineage: Bacteria
Description: partial 16S ribosomal RNA
Rfam family: Bacterial small subunit ribosomal RNA
Source: RNAcentral